Mus pahari (shrew mouse) is the source of this 143-nucleotide small nucleolar RNA. RefSeq annotates it as small nucleolar RNA SNORA48. NCBI's taxonomy places the organism in Eukaryota, Metazoa, Chordata, Mammalia, Rodentia, Muridae. The record is from RefSeq and is a predicted model, not a curated record. The transcript has a single exon.
AUCCCCAGCAAUGGGCAAAGAGACACCUUGUUGUUGGUGUUGUUCUUAUAUCAGUCAUGGGCAGAGCAGAUGAUAGUUCUUUGUUCAUCCUAACUUGAUGCCUGGCUUGAUGGCCAAAGCUUUCUUAUGCCCAGGACUCAUAA